CCGUUGGCUGCUACCCUUGAAUCUCCCUAUUUGUCAACAACAAAAGAAAAAGAUGUUGCCUAUAAGACCAAAUGUGGGGCAUCUGGUUAUCCCUCCAAAAUAAGGCAAUGACCACACGUUCAACGCGGAUCAUUCGUUUUUUCAUCGAACUUUACUCAUUCCAUCUUCUGGAUUGCUUAGGAAAGCUGAUUGGUGUUACCUGUCGCCUGUCAUUUAGGUAAUGACCGAGAAGAUGCGGCCUACAUGAACAUCAUUCAGGCGGCCAGCAUCAUUCGACUACCCAAUCGACUUCUACUACCCUGCUCUCAACAUAGCACGGAGUUUUACCCUUUAGAUUUUUGGCUGUUCGCGAUGUGUGAUGGCGUUUCCUUGGACGAGAUGAUGAUUUUGGCGAGAACAAUAUUGCGUUCUAACCUUCAGGUUCCUAAAUUUGCAUGGCAGAGUUUAUGAAAAGUAAUGUUCU
RNAcentral lists this unclassified non-coding RNA (463 nucleotides) under Daphnia pulex (common water flea). Its description in RNAcentral is "uncharacterized LOC124193890, transcript variant X2". The record is from RNAcentral. Lineage: Eukaryota; Metazoa; Arthropoda; Branchiopoda; Diplostraca; Daphniidae.